GAGUGGAUUGGAUUGAAUUCAUUUGAGGCGGCUAACAUUUUGAUGCGUCGUCGUUUAAAACUGAAGGUGUUAGUGUUAAAAGUUAAAACCGCCCGUAAAUAAAUAAUUGUGUAAAUCACUAUAAACAAUAAGUUUCUUAUUAUCAGUCAACUGGUGUUUAUGUACUUGAUCAAGAUGAACAGCUCUUGUUGUAAAUCAUGUACAAGAUAUUUCCUGUGUGCAAAAGCAGUUGUCUUUAUUGUGUGGAUGAAUUGAAAAUAAAAAUAAAAAGAUCACUGUUUGUCAAAGUAACUAUUGCAAAGGAUAAAGCAGAAACAAUGGAAACCACUAACAGUGCUCUUCUUUUUGAAAGUGACCUUUCACCAUCGCCUCAAGAUGAAAAUGAACUGUCAUUGUACAACUUUGUUGAAGAAACGAAUGUCAGAGAACCCGGUUAGUCCAAAAAAUACAAACAGUCAACGUUUUGAAAAUGGUAGGACCAUUAGGCAGCCUAAAGAUAGUGAGUCUGUAAAAACCGUUCCGAAAAUUAUUCUAAGGAGAGUGUCCGGUGAAACGAAUUGUUUUGAGAUUCAGGGUAGUAAGCCGAAGAAGAAAAAGAAGAAACAUUCAAAAAGAAAAUCUUCAAUUCGUUCUGAAACAGGCAGUACAGAAAAUGAAACACAGCCUUAUGAAACAAUUUGGAUAUCUGACGAUGAUGAUGAUGUAAUUUUGUGCUCAGAUAAGGAAAUCAACAACAACAAGGUUUGCUUUGAAAAUAAUGUUCAGGAUUGUUUAGAUAAAUCUACAGAAAUGUACAGUGAUGUUCAGACCCACCUGAAUUACUUAAAUGGGAUUUGUCUUCAAUUUAAAGAAAUGGAAACUCUUACAACAGAACUAGCCGAAGCACUCUACGUCAUCAUCUCUGCUCAGAAGGACAGGUUACAAAGACAACUAAAGUGUGCAAACCUUUCAGAAGAAUUUGUACGGAAGGAGAAGUUUUUCGCCGAGGAACAGUGUGAAAAGGUUGUCACGUUGUACGGUCCUCAGUUCACCAAGUGUUUUAAAAAAUUAGAGGAUAAUCUUCUUUGUCUUCAUGAGAACCUAAGUUCAGUCUAUCUUCAUAUUCUACAAAGAAUAUUUGAUGCUGUUCGUAAAAUUGAUGAAACCAUUCAAGCUACUGUGGAUGAGGUGAGACAUUUAGUGAUAUCAAUAUUAAAAGAAAACAAUCAUAAGAGUAAAGUGUUUGACUUUUUAACUGAUGAUCACCAAAUUUUAGCAGCAAUUUAUUAAUAAUUAUUAAUUACUAUGUAAGCAGGAUUGGUAUUAUGAAAAAAGGCAGGCAAGGGUGUAUUUACAAAGUGUACUGUUACAAUCAAAUUUUUUUAAGUAAACAUUAAAUAUAAAAAAAACAGUAUAUUUAAAUGAUUUUUUUAGUAUUUUACUAAGAAUUAACUACUAAAAUUACCAAUACUAAAAAACAAAAUUUAAAGAGAAAUGUACAAUAGUACAAGCAAAAGUAUAGAAUAACUGUUUCAAUGCCUUGAUGUAGAGUAAACAUGAAUAAUUGUAUGAAACGUAUAUACAAUUGUAUGUAUAUAAUUGUAUUGUAUAUACGUAUAUAUAUAUUGUAUGAAACGAACAUACAAGGUAUGUUCAAAAAGUAAUGGGAAUUUUAAUUUUUGUUUUAAUGCUCAUCUAUUCAUCUACAUUAAUUUUGUCACCUUCAAAAUAUUUCUUAUUAGAUAAUAUGCACUUAUGCCGGCACUCCCAAUCCCUAAAACACUUCACAAACUCAAUCUUUGGGAUAGAUAGCCUUUAGCUCUUUCAGAGAUGCACUUUUAAUUUCAUCUGUGCUUGUAAAAGAACAGACCUUUAAGCUUCUCUUUACUGUUGGAAAUCAAAAAAGUCACACAGAGAAUGUUUGAAGAAUAUGGAGACUGGUGUGGCGUUACAGUACUUAUGGUCAAAAAUUCAGAAACAAGCAAUGUAGUAUGAGCAGGUGCAAAAGCCAUUCAACACUAUUAAACAAUUUUGGAAACAAUUUUGCUGUCAAGUUUUAUAUCCAAAACAUUAAAAAAAGCCAUGGGAUGAGCCAAUUAAUAUGAAAAAAAUUAUCAGCAACUUCUUUGAUCAUAAUACUGUGAUCGUUCAUAACCACUUUUUGCCAUUUUCAUCAGCUUUUUAUGUGCUGGGGCGUCCGGAGCGUUCAUCAUUUUCAACGCGUUCACUACCAUGUUUGAAACAUUUAAAUACUCUUAAACCCUUUACUCAUAGCAGACUCACCAUUUAGGCCUUUAUUAACACUUCCUAUACAUAGUUAUAUUUUAUUUCAUUUUUCCCUCAAAAUUUGAUACAAAUUCGUUGAUCCAUUUUUUUAAGAAACAAAAAAUUUAUGAGUUCAUAAAACACAUCUAACCUUAGCAACUGCUACUGAAAUGAAUAGAGCUGGAAAUGUUAUUACACUUCAGGAGCAUAAAAAAACAGCAUAAUAAAAAAACUUUACAAUAAGACUCUUCAAAAACUUAAAAACUUUUGAUAAUUUUAACACAUCUCGUAUAUAUAAUCUGUAAUUUCUAAGUACACAACGUAUGUCGGUCAAAUUAUAGAAAAUAUGAAGAACUAUGUACGAAGGGGUGGAUGCCUACUAAACUUGUCACCUAUACAGAAUCAAUGGGAAAAUGUAUAGCUGGCCCCGUACUUUUUGUGAUGCUAACACAUGGAAUUGAAUUCCCACCGGUCUUAAAAUGGUAUACUUGCAUACACUACCACUUUAAAAUUAAAAUUACCCAUUUUCUUAUUUUUUAAGAUACAUUUUUCAAUAUUAAACUAGUUAACUAAUUAAAUUCUUAAAUUUUGUUUGUUGAGUGCAAUUUUACUAGGUUCUUUCAACACCAAUGACAGUAUUAAUAGUACUUAUAGUUUACACUGUCUUAUUUAUAGACAGUAUUAAUAAUUCUUUUAAUUAAUAGUACUUAAAGUUAUGGACUGUCCAAACCUAUUUGAAAAAUUGUAUUAGACUUCCUUGAAUUUGAACCUGGUCCAUUAUGAGAUAAUGAUAAUAAAAGUUACGUGUUUGUUAAAGUGUUUUGUCAAGUUUUUAACUGGUGAUAACUGGCAUUACUUUUGUUUUUGAUGGCAUUUCAAGAUCAUCUCAUAUUUUAUUAAGAAUUGAAAAGUUAAAUUUAGGUACAUUGAUAUUUACCUAAAUUUAAAUAUAUGCAGGAUUUUCCAGAACUCUACCAAUCUUUUCAGGUGUUAUUCCUGGGCCAAAGGUAAACCAAAAUAUCAAUUUCAACUUUUGGAAACUCAAUAAUUACCUGAAUAGCCACCAUAUUUUCCAUUUAACUAUUUUUAAUUUAAGAACAGCUUUUUGUAAUAAGUUGAAAUUUGGUAUGUACCUUUUUAAUCUAAAGGCUCAAUUAGAGAAAAAAAUCAAUAUUUUAGAUGCUUUAUUUUCAAAAUGGCAGCUUCUAAAAUGUUUAAGUGUAAAUAUCGUAAAAAUUAUAUGCGAUAAAAAGUCAUAGUUAUUAAAUUUUAGUUAGAAAAUGUAGUUACAAAUCCAACCAAGUUAAAGAAAAUCAAUUGAUAAAUAAGGUAAAUAAUGUGCUUUAAACAUACAGAGUACAAAACAAUACAAACUAUCUUUCUUUCUUAAAAUAAAUGAAAUCGUAAAAUAGGAAAAUUUUCAUUUUAUUCUUAAAAUUUCCUCUUGCAUAUUACAAUUUACGUGUAAGGGGUAUUUAAAAUUGUAAACUGGGCCUAGAUGAUAAUCUCCCUGCUGAGUAGCCUAUAUUAUAAACGUUCCUUCCAUUAUGCAUUUAACGUAUGUAUUAAUAACCAGUUCCAUUAAAUAAAGAUUCUCGUACCUGUAAAGUUUGAGGCUGUGACGAAACAUAGACUGCUAGUAAGUCACUUAGAAAGCCUUAAAAGUUAACAAUAAGUGAGUGAUUAAUACUAUAAGUAAUGUAAAUUAUGUGUUCAGGGGAUUCAGUAGCCAAAGUUAGAGGUGUCAAACACUAGCUCUGAUAUUGAAUAUGAUUGUCAUCUGUAAAAACACUAAUGUGCCAUUCUUGUAGUACGCAAAAUUAGUACAGUACAUAGUGUUUUAUGAGACUUUCUUUGUAUUUUAUUAUUUAAUGUACAGUUAGUAUCAUAGGGAAAAGUUUUGUUGUUUUUGUCAUGUAGUAAAAAUGUUGAUUUAGAUUUGAGCUUUAUAUUUUUCGUUUUAAUGUGUGAAUUUUUUUACAAAACAGUAGAGUUACGCUAUUCCGAACAUUGUUCGGAAACAGUAUACAUUUUCAAAUUGUUCUAUAAAUACAAUAAUGAAAUCUCUGAUUUUUAAUCUUAUAACUGGAACAAAGAAGAAAUUGAAAACUGAAAAGUCGUUCGUGAAAAAACAUACAUUUAUUGUUUUACAAAAUAUACUGUACAAGGACUUGUAAUAAAGAAAUACCCGUGCUUAAAGCCUAGGUUUGAAGAAAACACUAAGAAGUUAAGUUAGUGUUUUUUUUUUCUGACGAAGUGCAGUGAAUCGACUUGAGGAUGUAAUGUUUCCACCAUCAUCGCCGCAUAAACAUAACAUCAUUUGUGGUGUUGAUGAAGCGUGUUCGACGUAGCCUAACGUAAGGUAAGGUCAAGAGCAUUUUGCGUGCCUGUGUGUGAAUGAACUGCUCUUCCCUCAGGAUUUGUUCACGAACCCAUCAACGCCGAUAUGUCGACACUAUUCAUUAAUCCGACUAUUCCGAAUUCCCGCGAAUCCGUGCACUGUUCGAAUUGGCGAGACUCUACUGGCAGUACUCUGAUUCGUAGGCAGAAAAUGUUGCAUAACAAUAUUUUCGUCAUAACAUGAGAUAUUAAUGUUGUUCCUUUGGUUACUUUCAGUAACCAUUUAAUGUACUGGAUUCUACCUAACUGUGUGUAUUACUAAGCUAGCUAUGAUCAUAAUAAUGUUUUAAUGUUACACAACAAUAAACAAUACUUUUAAUAGGUUAUGGUUUUCGGGCCUGAACAAAUUAUAGGAUCCCACCAAAAGUAAUCCUGUAAAUUGUGCGCUGUCAUGGCUUGCUUUAUGCUGAAUAUCGAUGAAUCGAUCGAACAAUACCUGAAAUGGUGCUUAUUUAUAUAAAUUGAACCUCUACUAAUGUCCCCGUGAAAGUAUGAAAUCUGUCAAGAGUGUACUACAAUAUGUAGUUAUAAUUUUAACAAGCUGACUUGAAUCAGACCCCUUACGGUACAUUAGUCUUGUGAUAUCAGUCAAGAUAACAUAAUAUAGAGCUGUGAUUCCAUGCACAAUUGUGUUAAAUAGGUGGUUCAAGUUAUUAAGGGGAGCAGACCGCUUUUAUUAUCCCCAUCUCCGCCAUGUUAACUUAUGUACCCAAUAUCCAAAAACUAUAAAAGAUACAGGAUUGAAACUUUGCAUGUUACUGACAUUGAUCCUUUAUACAUCUUUACACCAGAGGAUUUUGUAAAAUAUACUUUAGUUUUGUAUUUAUGAUUUUUUAUAAUGUUAAAAAAGUCUAAACAAAUGAAAUUAAACGUUUCUUUUGUAAGUAAUAUUUUUACAAACCCUGUGGUAUAAAGUUGUGUUAAAAUUGCCUAAAAAUGAGUAAACAAUUGCAUGCCUGUACUACCAACAGUUACUGAGAUGUAGGUACAAUUACACUAACAAUUACAGCUGCAGGAAACAAAGAAAAUGUAAAAAAAAAGAAAAAAAGUUACACUUAAAAAGUUGUAAUGAACAAGUAAGUAAACUACGUUAAGUUUCUCUGUUGCAUAUUUAUUCACUAGUCUUAUCUUUUAUUGUUGUUUUCGCUGAUUUAUCAUCUUGUAAAGCUUCUCUAAGGCUCUCUUCGUAUUCUGCAAUAUUAAAAAAUAGAAUAGUAAAAUACACAUAAAAAGGUGCUAGGCUUAUGUUUUUUAAUACUUCUGAUAUAAAGGUUUUGAAGCGGUAUGAAUAGGCCGUGGUUCUCAGUGCCUCUAAAAUACUGUCGAUCGUGUAGCAUUACUAAUGAAGUAGUAUUGUAAAAAGAAAUACUAGCAUUUGUAAAGAGAAAUACAACCUCGGAUGCGUCACGCUCAGUUCUUGGUUGUGAGGUAUGAAGUAUGCAUGCAAACCGUCAGAAAAUAUUGUUUUAAGCUAACUUACUAUAAGAAAACAUAUACAUGUUAUAUAUCAUUGUAUAGAGAACAUUUCAGGCUAUUUAAAAACUGCAAAAACGAAAAAACAAAAAAUUGGGUUUUAACUGGUUUGCUCCCCUUAAAUUUACCAACUUGUACUACAGUGAGAUGGUAGAUGUAUAAUUCCCUGGAGGCAAAAUGAGUCUGCUGAUACGAACAUUAUAUGUUGGUUUCUUUUGAAAAGUACUUAGUCCUCUUAAGAGUUAAAAUAUUCAAACGUUUCGUCUAGAAAACUUUUGUAUUCUCCUCAUUUCACUGAAAGAAAUUGUUUAGCUAAAUUUUGACUUUAUAAGUUCAAAUAUAAUUUAUUAUUAUUGUUAUUGUUGAAGUCUUUAGCAAGUUUGAAAAUAAAAUAUGAAACUGUUAUUAAUUUAAUUUGUGAACAUGUGACAUUAUUAUUAAAAUUAAACUGUAUAUUAUCUGUAAAUAUUUGAAAUACUGUUGUAAGCAAGUUCCUAUUUUUUUAAAUAAUGUAACUAUGUUUGUUUGUUUUUCAGUAGUAUUUUAAGAAUGUCUAGUUUUAUUUCUUGAAUAAUUAUUAUAAAGUAUUGUAUGUUUAAAACUUAUUACAUAGUAGUAUUAUUUAGUUACGGCAUUAGUCCUAUUUAAUGGGUAUUGUAGACGCAGUAAACAUUUUGACAUGGUCUGUACUGUGAACUGCUAAGUGUUAAGUUUGAGUUAGUUUUAUUAAACAGUUUUUAAGUCUU
Long non-coding RNA from Homalodisca vitripennis (glassy-winged sharpshooter), 6863 nucleotides. RefSeq lists it as uncharacterized. The transcript has 2 exons. The record is from RefSeq and is a predicted model, not a curated record. Lineage: Eukaryota; Metazoa; Arthropoda; Insecta; Hemiptera; Cicadellidae.